UUUUUUUUUUUUUUUUUUUUUUUUUGUUUAAUGUCUGUUUCCAUUCAUGUCCCCUUUGAAGUUACGAUGCCUUUGAUAAAAAAAUACUUUUAAAUAUUAAAAAUAUUUUUAAGGCAUUUGAUAAAUAUCAUUUGAUAAAAUUAGGAGUAGAACUUUUACUAUUGAAAACACUUUUUGCAAAAACUCAAAUUUGAUUCUUUUAAAAUAACUUUUGUAAUUUAAAAAAUAAAACAUUAAUUUUAAUCAUUUUAUCAUAUAUUAGCCACUAAAUAUAAAAAAAUAUAUUUAAACUUUUUUAAAUUAUAUAUUAUUCAAUAAAAUAAAUACUUAUUGAAUUAUAUUUUCAAAUAAUAUACUUAAAAAGUAUUUAAACACAUAAUAAGUAUUUUUAUUAAAAAUUUUAUUUAAAAAAUAUUUUUUUAAUAAGUUACUACGAUCCAAAUGGGCCUCAGUAUUUAUGAGUUUAUCUAAUUUUUGACCUAAAUUAGAGCUGGCAAUUUGUCCCAAGUCCCAAUGGGCUACCCAUGCCCAAAGGAACUUUGGGCGGGAUGGGUAUUAUAAUUUGGUAUUGGGUUUAAGUUGGGACACAUCCCAACUAUACCCAUUAAUGAAUGGGAAAGGAUGGGAAAUACUUGGGUACCCAUUGGGCUCAAAUGGCAAGGGCUCCGUUUGGAUUAGCUAUUUUUGGUAGGUGUUUUUGAAAUAUUUUAUUGUAGCCGUGUAUAUGAAAAAUUUUUACUAUAAAAUUUUUUUGAAAUAUUUGAUAUACUAAUAUGGAUGGGAUGUUUCUUGAGUUAUUGUAUAUUACUGUAACAUUGUAUUUGAAAAACUUAUUUUUUGAAAAAAUAGUCAAUCCAAACGGAGUCUUAGAUUCAAAAAUUAUCUUUAACAAUUUUUAUAGUCAUACCAGCGAAUAUAAUCUAGUAGUCUUCCUAGUCAUUAUCCACAAGAAUUUCCAGCAUUUCAGUUAGUUUAGACCUGUCAUCCUUGGACAAUGAUGAGGAUAAAUAUUCAACAUCCUAAGGACCUUGGCCAUCUUGAUAUAUGUUGGAAUAUGGCUGUAUAUCUAUCUUUUCCUUUAUUUGUUAAUCCAAUUUUUGGUGGGAAUCUUGAGUAUAAAGCACUUGCAUGUUUAUUUAAUAAAACUAAAAGAAAUUUAAUAAAUCAAAAAUAUUAAAAUUAUAUAAAAAAUAAAAAAUGAAUUAAAGGAAAAAAAUAUGUAGAAAAUGAAUUUGGGUAUUGGGCGGGAUGAAUCUAAACCCAUCCCAAAAUGAUCCCGCCCAAGUUAGUCCCAAAACACAUAUGGGUAAGAUUGGACCCAAACCCAUAUGACUCGGUUCCAUCUCAAACCCAAGCAAAUCCCGCCCAUCCCGCCCAUUUUGCCACCUCUAACCUAAAUGAACUAAAAUCAGGCUUUUGCAAUUUUGGCACACGUGCUGUGUUUGUUCUGAAAACAGUACUCAAUCCAUCUUUUCCCAAAACUGCCAAUUUCACCACAUACGACAUUGCUCAUUUACCUUUUUUGUGGUAGGUGUUUUUUUUUUUUAUAUAGAAAUAAAAUAAUUUUAUCAAUGAGAUUGUUGGUUUUUCUCUAGUACCAUUUGCUUGACAGAGUUUCAAGCAAAUUUCCGACUAGAUUGAAAGUUUUCACAAAUUAAGCUAAAUUAUGUGCAAUCUUUCUCUAAAAGUCCAAUUUACUUGACAAUAUGGUUGGUCUGAUAAAAUAAGACUAACAAUAAAUGCAUGCGCCGCAAGUGUAUUAGUAUUCAACCAUUGGGAGAUCUAGGGGAUGAAUGCAUAGUUUUUGGAGAAUUUGUGAAUGAAAUAUGGAUUACUUAAAUUAAAAUAAUUUAUAAAUGAAUUCUAAGUGAUCAAAGCAUUCUCAUAAUAAUGUGAAUUUUUGUUAAAUAAAAAAUGCACUUCAAAACAUAAAAACGUAUAUUUAAGUAAGUGUAGCUACAUAUGUACACAUUUAAUUUGAUAUACAGUGCACUUAUGCAUGCUUAAACAUGUACACGCGAGUACUAAUUCUUCAUAAUGGAUAAUUUUACUUGCAACACAAAUUUCUUUUACAAAUUUAUGAUCAGUAACUUAUGUCUCAUUUAUGAUUUUUUCAAAAUUUAUACCAUGGAUUGUAAUUCUUGAAUUUUUCAUUUUCCCUUUUACAAACACAUUUUCAAAUACGAGAAUCAUCUUAUGUUUGAGCUUCGUUUUAUUUUACAAAGGAAUUUUUUUUUUUUAAGUUUGAAGCAUAGCUCAAAUUUACAACAAAAAAAAAAAGAACGAAAAGCUAUGUCAAGUUGAACUGUGUGUUGACUCAUCUGAGUGAGAAUUGAUGAAAAUUUCUACAAAUCACAAAGUAAUCAUCGUAUAAAUGAUAAAAUGGUGAAUGGAGUUAUUCAAACUUUUACUUUUUUUUCAAAUUAGUACAAGUGAUGCAUAAAGUAUCAUGAUAAAACUAGAAAAAUGUAAGAGGGUGAUGGAUUGAGUAGUAUGAAAGAAUGGAGUGUAAGUGGAAGGUUACAGGUUUGAAACAUCUCACUUAAACUAAAAAAAUAUUAAACAAAUAAAUUUUUUUUAAACUAGGGAAAUUUUAUUUACAUAAGGAUGCAAAUAACAUUUUCUCUAAAAAUAAAGAAACAUUUUUGUUAUUAAUAGGUAAUAAAUGCAUAGAAAACUUAACGAUUCUAAAUUUGCAAAUUUGGACUUGAAAAAAAUCUAGAUUGGAGUUUCAAGUAUACCCAAAUUAAUUUAGGGAAAAAUUGAGGUUUAUAAAAUUUAGGGAUAAAAUUUGACAAUUUCACUGAUCUUCCCUAAAGUUUAUAAAAUUACACUUACCUCCCUUGGUAGAAUUGUGAGCCUAAUUACUUACAUGGAAAAUUACUCAUAUACCAUAAGACAAGACAUUAUGUCUUAUGGAAACUAAUAUCUAAUGAUUGAAUAAUUAGAGCAUCGAUCAAUUAUUAAUAACUGUUGAGAAUUUCUUUAAUAGUGAACAGUGACUUGCAAUUAUAAAACAAGGCCAAUUGAUUUACUAAAUGGCGCUAUUUUGUGAUUGAUAUAACUUAAAAAUUAUUAGAAACCAAUUGUACAUAGUGUGAUAAGAAGGGUUUUGGUUAAAAAAAAUAUAUAGGACAAAAGAAGAUUGUUCAUGAGAAAUUUUUUUUUGAAACUCUUAAAACUGUAACUGUUGUAAAGUAAAGGAGAAAAAAGAGAAAAUAUAAUUUAAAAAUUCUUUUUUUUCCAAAAUCACAAAAUCAAAGUAAUGUUAAGAGCGAUGACUGGUCUAUUUUACCGAAUCUUGUGAUCGUUAGUAUAGUUUUAUUGCUUAUUUGUGUUGUCUAAUGUAUUGAAUGUAAAUAUUUUAAUUAGUGAAAUGCAUGUAUUAAUUGUUUAUGAUUUUUAAUUAUUUUUAUUUUUUUACUAAUACAACUUAUAUAUAUGUACAAGGGAUAAUUAUGGGAUAAAAGUUUCAUUUCUCUCUUUAAAAUACUAUUUUUAACGUUCUUUUUUUUUUAUUUGGACUAAUUUUGUUUCUAAAAUGUUAACCUUAGAGGAGGUUUGUGUAAUUGUACAAACCUCAAGGGUGUCUAGUGAAAUUGUCAGCGAGGUUUCUGAAAUUAUCCGUUUUAAUCAUUUCCGUAGUUGUGUCUUCAUCCGUUUCGAACAGUGGCUCGAAGGCGAACCAACUAUCCUGGCGAACUGGUUAUUUCGAACCCAUUUGGGCCGGAGGUUGAAGGAGACGUUCCAAUCCAGUCAGCUCUGCUAACUUGGUGACAUCAACUUCUCUCUCUAUCUUUCAAAUGUUCAAUAUAUUUUAGGGUUUCAAUUUCAUACAUUCUCGAUGGAUGUUGACAUCGACGUCGACAUAGCCCGGUGGAUUCUCGAAUUCCUCGUCCGGCAACCCCUAGACGACCGCAUUGUUAGCUCCCUGAUUAGCAUUCUUCCUCCCACAAACGAAAAUUCAGGUCUCAAAAAGUCCCUCCUUUUACGACGAAUCGAAUCCGAAAUAUCUGCCGGUUCGGUCUCCGAGAAGAUCCUUGAUAUCCUCGAGCAAAUUGAGGAAUUAGACUUCCAGGACAAGAUUAAGCAACACUCUGACCUAAUCAAGGCCGCCUAUUGCUCGGUGGCUGUGGCUUGUACUGCAAAGUUUCUGAAUGAUAAGGACGUUGAUAGUAAAUUUAGGUAUUUCGAUGCGGUCAGGAGGAUUUGGAGAGGGAGAGUGUGUAAAAUGGAGAACGCGGAGAAGGUGGGUUUGAUUUCGGAGGAACUGAAGAGUUGGAAAGAUGAGCUCGAGGCUGCCGUGUGGGAUGAGAGUAUUUGGGAUAGUGUGUUGCAGAAGAGUAAAGGCCUUGAUGCGGUUGGGGCGGUUAGGCUUUAUGUUCGAGAGGAAAAAGAUGAUAUCGGGCCUUCUUUUCUGGAAUUAGUAGCUGAGGCAUUGAGGGCUGAUGAUAAAUUAAAGGGGAUUCUCGGAUUCAAAGGGACCCAUGGCGGGGCAAUUCAAAGUUCGGGUCCUAGAGAUGCUAAUAGAGGUGAGUUUCGUUGCAUCUGGUUCAUAUGUUUAGCUGGGAUUAGCAAAAAGUUCAGAAGAUGAUGAUUUUUAUGAAUGCUGUAGCUUUAUUUGUCAUUGAAUAUGCAUGAUUUAUUUUUUCCCUUCGGUUCGGACUGUAUUGAUUUUAUUAGCAUGUUUAGGUGGUUGUUUCUCAAUUCAUGUAGAAGUGCAGAGAGCAAAUGUUGUUUCCGGGCGGAAGCAUGUUGCUUCUAAACGAAUCCGAGGUGCUCCAUCUGGGAUGUCUAGAGGUGCUAAGAUCAUAGAUGGUGACACUUCUGGAGCUGACAUUUCUGGCAAAACGUUUGAUCUGCCAUCUACUCCUGAAGUGCAUGAAGUGCAGGAAGCUCUUAAGUCAAGUUCGUUGGACCUAAAAGCUGUGGUAAAGGAUCCCCUUCCUGAUGCUUUAAACAUUGCUGAUACCGUGGUUUCUAGCAUUGAAAGAAAAGAUGCAGGUAAGCAGCCUGUGGAAGAAAAUCAUGUUGGAGCAAACCCUUCCAUUGCUGAGAGCUCUGGAGCUGUUCAAGCUAAUGAAGGGACUCUGGGUAAUCAUUGCUCUGAGCAUCAGAAAGAUGCACCAAGACAGAGUUUAAUGGCACGAAGCAGCACUGCUCGUACUUUUGAGGUAAUGUGUUAUUUACAAUUCUGAAUUACUGUUGGAUCUCCUAUAUCUAGCGAAGUAGAUGGCUAUCAAGUUUUUGCCUUCUGAAAAAGGAUACACUCCAAAAUUUCGUUAUCUAGUGGUUUAGAUUUUUUUGGGUUCUGGUCUGAUAUAUUUUAGGUUCCAAGUUGUAUCUUUCUGGCUAUACAUUUUGACUUUGUUUCGAGGUUUGUGCAAUUUUGUCAUAGUUAUGACGUAUGAGCUUGGUUCUUACUCUUCUAAAGUAAUUAGGGGUUUAAUAACUUCAUGAGACAUAAUCUAAAGGGAUGAAAGAUUGGCAUUCUGCAUUCAUUACAUGCCUAUCAAUUUUAUAAUGAUCAUUAUAAAACUUAGUUAUUUGGGAUGCCACUGAACUUGGCAUCUUCUUUAUGUACUGAUAAAACUUAAAAUUCCCUUAUACGAGAAGUACUACUUGCCUGCAUGAUCUGUGAUUAUGCUUCUGGUUAGAAACACCUUACCAUUGUUGCUAUUUGAUUCAUUGAUAUGAUUGCAGUGGCUGGCUAUAUGAUUCACUCGGUAUAGAAUUCUCUGUUGUCCUAGUUCCGUGAAUUUUUAUUACUAUUUUAUUUGAUUUAGUGUGAGACCAAGAUCUAUUUCAUACUUUACGGGAUGGAUGGAGUCUGCUAAUUCUCCUAUUCCUAUACUAAGGGCUGCACUUGUAUGUUCAAUAACAAUGGAGCUCGGGAAUGUUGCCUUUGGAGAAAAAUAUGGGCAUUGCAAUCUUUUCUAAUGGUAGUUGUGGGAAGCAAUGAAAGGCUCUGUUUGAGACGAUUAAAGAUUGGCUUGGGUUCCUUGAACACUGUAAUAGACUGAUAGUUAAUCAAGGAUUGUAAUAGUUGUUUUCUUCUCUCCCAUGUUAGUUCUUGUCCGUCUACUUUUGCCAAUCCAAAUGUUUUCUUCCUUUACUUGUUUUAUCUCAAUCACCUAGUUUGACUGAUAGAAUCAGUGAGAUUAGAUAUGUAUGGGCUUAACAUGUUCUUGUUCACAUCUGUAAUGCAUAGAUUCAUCAUUUAUGAGCUAUGGCGUCGUUUGUUCUUUCUCAAUGGAUUGAACUAGGAGCGUAUAUGAUAACAUGAGCAUAGUUUCUGAUCAGUCAGCUAUUGGAUUUAGUAAGAUACCUGGUUGACUUAAUCACUGCUUUUCACUUAUACUGUUCUCCAAGACUCCAACUAGGAAAUUUGACAGGUUUCUUUUUUUUUUGAGAGUUAUGUAACUUACCUUGAUUAUGCUGCAUAUUCCAAAAACUUGUUUUUUCCUUUCCCUAUUUUUCUGCUAAAUGUUGUUGAUCUUGGAUGUACACAAUAUUGGUUCCAGGUAUGGAACUUUCCUUUGGAUGUGGAAUUUUAUUCUUGUUAAAAAGUCUAAAUUGUUUUUCAGUGGGACGAUUCAGUUGAUGCAUUGGCUGGAGAUUCACCAAAUCCUGGAAAUGGAGUUCAGUUACCUAGCCCAAAGAGAAGGGUAGUUUCUCCUUUGAAGAAAUAUGAAAUCAAUAAUAUGAAGAAAAGGAGAAAAUUUAAGAGAUGGAGUACAUCAGAAGAAGAGACGUUGAGGAUUGGUGUAGAGAAGUAUGUAAAUUAUUGCAUUCAGACAAAGCAUUACAGUUGAUUUCCAUUGUCUUACAUGGCUUACCAUUUUGCUGUGAACAUGAUUUGUUAUUUGGGUACUCAGUGGCGGCGCUUUUCUUCCAAUCUUGUUCAAUCACAUCCUACUUGCGCUAGAGUGAUAUAGGACACAUGGUUAUGUCAGACUUGCUCAAGUUCUAAAACAAUAUAUUUGUACUGACCUUGUUGCAGGUAUGGAAGAGGAAACUGGAAAGUUAUUUUGAAUGCAUAUCGUGAUGUAUUUGACGAGAGAACCGAGGUAAAUGUUCUGCAAAAUUAAUCUUCUUGGCACUUGGCUUUUAAUGUAUAUUAAUUACCACUGAUUAUUGUCUCUAGGUUGAUUUGAAGGACAAGUGGCGAAACCUAACACGCUAAUGCUAGCUUUUGAAGGAACUGAUUUGCUGUUUGUUUUAGCCACAGAUAUGUGCUUUGUAUAGCUUUUGUCUUUUCAUAUCCCUGUUUUCUCCAUCUGCUGUUUUGAGACAUGGCAAACCAGUUCACUGGCUUCUAGCUCAGCGUAGUACUAUUUUGGAGGAGCAAUGGAUUUUUGUAUGCUUUUGUCUCGUAAUCAAGUGGAUAGUCUUGUAGUCAGGAUUAGGAUAGCAUAAUGAUGUAACCAACAAUAUUAAAAUGAACAUCUAAGUAAUGUCUAUAAGGUUUUUCACCUCUAUCUUUUUUCCUUGAUUUUUGUGUGAUUGUUUGUUAUUUAAGCGCCUUUAGCCUUUUCUGCUACUCUUGCCUCAAACCACAUGUUUCUUAUUGCUCGUCUACACAACUGGGCGCUGAUAUCUUCUCUUUAAACGCAUGCUUCUGACCGAUGAGGGAUUAUUAACUUCCUACUUGCCUGCCUGUCCAACUCUCUGUCUAAUAGGAAAUGGUGUCGCCCUUAGUUCUUUAGUUCAAAAUUACGAUGUGGCAUUUUUACUUGCGCCUGAAUUUUUGCUUGGGAUUAAGGGCCUGUUUGGAAGUCAGGUUUUUAAGCAAGUUUUUUACCUACUAAUUUUUUAAUACUUUUGCUACAGGGAUCCAAAAAACUUUUCUAAAUAUUUUACUUACACACUUCAAAAUACACAACACACAAAAAAAAAUGUUCUUCCCUUUUUUUUCUUCUUCCUCCCCCAUCCCAACUCACCACCACCUCUGUUGCCGACCACUACCUCCGGCGCCGUUUCCUUUUUUUUUUUUUGCCUUACUACCUCUCCCUGACAUCUUCCCCUGCCAUCCUUUCCCUUUAUUCAGUUUGUAUGACCCCUUUUUUUAAAAAAAAAUUUACCUUCCCCAGUCCUCCCCCAUCACCCUUCCCUUUCCCCUUUGGCCGAUCUGGCAGCGAGAGUAGAUCGCAUCGGGGAGGGGGAUUUUUCCACGCACCAAAUUGCGAGGAAGGGGAGGAGAGGGGAAGGCUGAAAAUUCCAAAAAAAAAAAAAAAAAAUUUUGACUGGCUCGUGGAUGAGGUGCACGUUGACUGCUGGGCGAGGGAAGAGAAGAGGGAUGGGGAAAGGCAGAGGGGAGGAGAAGGGGAAAGGGAGGUGAGGGGUGGCGGGAGGUGGCAUUGGAGGAGGUGCUGGUGAUGGAGCCGAUGAUGGUGCUGGAGUUGGAGGAGGUGCAAGUAGUGGUGGUGGUGCUGGUGGUGGCGUUGGAGGAGAUGCUAGUGGAGGAGUAGGUGGAGGUGCUGCUGGAGGAGCUGGUGGUGGUGCUGGUGGUGGCGUUGGAGGAGAUGCUAGUGGAGGAGUAGGUGGAGGUGCUGCUGGAGGAGCAGGUGGUGGUGCAGGAGGUGGGACUGGUGGUGGAGUUGGGGGUGGAGCAGGCAGGAGAGUAGCAGGAGGGGUUGGUGGAGGCAUGGUAGUGGUGUCGGAGGUGGAGCAGGUGGAGGCGUGGGAGGAGGGGCUGGAGGAGGCCUUGGCGGAGGUGCUGGAGGUGGGGCCGGUGACGGAGUAGGGGUGGAGCAGGCUGCGUUGCUGCUGGGAGGCAGAGGUAAUGGGGAAGGGAGAGGGGGAAGGAAGAAGAAUAAGAAAAAGAGAGGAAAGAAAAGAAAAAGGAAGAAAGAAAAAGAAAGAGAAAGAGAAAAAAAAAGUUUUUCAUCUUGCAAAAACUUCUACAAAAAAAUUUUUCACCUUACAAAAAAUUUCUACAAAAUUUUUUCAAAAACUUCUACAGUGCACUACAGUAAAGUUUUAGAUAAACUCCCAAAAAACUCAGGUUCCAAACAGACCCUAAUUUACUCUGUGCUACUCUAACCACGUAUCUUCCUCUGUCCAUUCUCGUUAUUCACCAGUAUAUCUCUGCUACUUUCUAUCUCCAUCGUAUCACAACCCCUUUUUCCCACUUUUUAGCAUUUUCAGUUUCACCCACGACACAAGGCUUCAAAUGCCCAUCGCCCUCAUCCCCCGGACGGAAUCAUCUGUCCAUUAUAUAUGUCUAUUUUUCCAGUCCACUUCCAUUAUAUCUGUCUAUUUUUCAUGUCUAACGCAAAAUUAUGUAGUUCUACUAAAAAAUGGAUAGAUAUAAUGGAUAGAGGAUCCUGUCUGUUCAUCCCCUGCUCGUUAGACAGAUAUUGAGAAAUUUCCUUUUUUCACUUUCAAAGUGAAACUAUGUAAUUUUAUAGAGUUUUAUGCCAAAAUAACACUUUUUCUAAAAAAAUAUUCCCAAUGUGAUUUAUUUUCAAAUUGUAUUCCCAAAUCAAUAUUAUUGUUGCCACCUAAUAUUCCUGAUUGCCAUGUAGGAUAACAAUAAAGGAAAGCUUUAAUCUAGUUUAUAGUUUUCAAUAAAAACUAAAAAUUUAAACUGUUUUAUUAUAGAGGCACAAGAAAAUUACAUAACUUUGAUAAUUUCGUUAUAAUUAUUUAAAAUAAAUUUUACCAUUAUUAACCUUGCUAUUAUUGCUCUUUGCAAUUUUUGUAAAUGUAUCAAGUUUAUUGCAUAUAUUUUUUCAAAAAUAAAUUUGCAAAAUACAAAAAUUGCAAUGAACAUUAUAAGCAAUAACAAGAAAAAGUUACAAAAACUUCAAGACUAUUAUAUUUGUUUAUGUUAUGCUUCCUACUACUUGAAAAGAACUUUUACAAAAAGUAAUCAAACUAUUGCAAUUAAGAUAAUGCUAAAGUUUCUCAAAAGUAACACAAGCCAUUAAUUGAUAUUGAGUAAAUGUGCAAAAAUACUUCAAGUAUACGAAAUUAUUUGAUUAUGUGAUAGAGAGACACUACAAAUGAACAUACUUAUAUUGAGCAUGAAUUUAUGUUGUUACGUAGUUUUCCUCUUAGACAUUUUAUUAAACACACGGUGUGAGAAAUCAUUUGUUAAAACAAUUAGUAUUCAAAAUUUUUUGAAGGGCGUAGGAAUGUUCCAAAAACUGCACAAUAGAAAAGACAAGAGAAUAAUCUUCAUUUACUUUGAAAUAAUCAAUUCGAGGAGAAUAUUUUCAUCUACAGAUACAAUAUCAGGAAUGAUAAUGAAGUUUUAGAUGUUGUUAAUAUUAAUAUUGGCUUUUAACAAUUACACUUGACAAGGAAAAAUAAUGAAAGGAUACAAAAUAAUAAAGGAAAAAAAAGUGGGAAGGUUGAGAGAGAGAAUCAGGGAAUAUAUUAAUUGGGAAAAAGAGAUAGAAUGUGCCUCUAUCUUUAUCCUACCACAUAUGUAACCUAUAUGAAAAAAAAAGAAUUAUAAAAGUAAUAAAUUUUAAAAUUAGGUUACUUUGGGUAUAUGUUUCAAAAGAAGAGUUAUUUUGACAAUAAAAUCUAAUUUUACAUUAGACAAGAAAAAUAAACAGAUAUAAUGGACAGAGAAUUCCGUCUGCUCAUCCUUUGCUCACUAUACAGGUGUUGAGAAAUUUCCUUUUUCCACUUUCAGUUUCAUGCAUGACACAAGGCUUCAAACACCUACCUCUCUCAUCCCCUUCUUAUCGGAUAGAUGUUGAGAAAUUAGGCCCUGUAAUUCUUCCUUUAUAGUCUUCUCCUACAAAAGCCUAUUUUAAUUACUAUUGUUCUGAUGAAAAAAUUGCUAUCAAAGGGGAGAUGAAGAAAGCCAAUUUUAAUUUCAAGUACUAUUGCAGUAAAAAGGUGUUCGGCCUUAAAAAGUGGGACGCGGGACUGGAGCGGUUAUCAGAACAACCGCUCCGAAAGGUGUAACACCAUUUGUACAUGAUGUAACAUCAUCUGUACAAAGUGUAACAAUAGAACAACAGCGAGUAAUACUAGAACAAUAUUUUUGUGAGUCCCACAUGACGUGAAAAUCGAAUUACAAGACGUGAUCUGAGCCGAAUAAAUUUUUGAGACCUUGUCCAAGCCAUGAAAUGCCUGGGACGGUUGUCAGAGACGACCGUCCAGGCCCUCGUCCUAAACAAUGUGGGUGAUCUUCCGUACUCUCUGUUCUGACAAGCCAAUACUAGCUUUUGGCUCAAGAUUGAUUCCUUUCGGAAAUCAAGUGAUUACUGGAGGCCGUGGAGGGUAAAUCGUUUAAAAAAAAAAAAAAAGAGUCGUCUUACGCAAAUACAUGAAGAGUGAAUUAAGUUUGCAUGUCAACGGUGAGAGAGUUAUCUGAAACUGUUUAGCAGCCUUUGUUUAUAAAGUUUAAACAAGACCAGUUACAGAGCCACUCGUUGCGAGGUUUCAACCUCUGAGGCAGCCUAAUCGUCGUCCUAUUAUUCCACUAAGCAUGGACCUCCUAGCGUUGCUAUGGCCAAAAAAGAAAAAAGAAAAAGAAGCUCCACCACCGUCCUGAACACAGAACGGGCAACGACCUUAAAGCCCACAAAGCUAGCUAUCACUGUGCUCAAAGGAUGAGCAGGGCUUGACCGUUUGCUGAUAAUGUCAGCAUCAUCAAAUCUAACACUAACGGCCGAGCACUUCUUGCAUGGCUCAAAAGGUAAUUGUGUGGAUGAGAGAUUUGUACAGUGGCUGUAGUUCGCCAGCGGGGGCAUCUCUCUGUAAUUGCUAGAACAGAGGCUGUGGACUUGCCACGUGCAAAUAGGGAGAUAACGUGCUGGGCUGGCAAUUGUGAAGCAGCGGCUUUUGGUGGGUUGACAUUGAAGUAGGAAACUGCAGAGACUCGGAUUGGCACACGUGGCAGGGGUCGUCCAAUUCCCCUGUGACAGCUUUCAGCCAUUGGAUUUCCAGCUUGAGUGCUGCAUUUUGAGCUGGAGACAACAAAUACAGAAGUGUCUUAAGGAUCGAUAUAUCACGCAUUACUGUAGCAAAGAGAAGCCCUCGAACCGAAAAUCACUUGACUAGUCAUCGUCCCAGUGAAGCAUAAACACAAACUAGAUAUAAUCCAAAUUGGUGGGCAUGAAGUUGGAGAAACACUCGCGGAAGUUCUUGAGCACGAAAUUAAACCAUGAUCAUUUUCUGAUGGGAGACAGAAAAAGAAGAAAAGACACCGAGGGCAGUAGUUAAAUAGGCAGGUGCAUACCAUCGAUCUGCUCGGUUUGACUCUCCAGGGUCUGCAACUGACAUCUUAGUUCUGACUUUUCAGCUACAAGCUCCGUUGUCUCCCUCUGAGAGAGUUGAGAUUUUCAAAAGUCAAAUGGUUGCACAAAACAAAAGGAGAUGCCACUUAAUUAGUACAUUACAUUUCAGCAUGGGGAGAAAGUGAGCGUCGUUUAGGUUGAUUGCGUGACAUGCCCUGCAAAAACAUAUGAAAUGAAUCGAAACAAAGUACAUGCCUGGGUUGUGGUGAGUCGAGUAUUGAGCAAAGCCACCUGCGAAUUAAGCGUCUUCACCUUUUCCUCGAGAUUUACUAUGUAUUGAGCCUUCCUCUCUUUCGACCGGGCUGCCGAAUGUCGAUUUGCCACAAUCCUGGAGUCAACCGCUACGUUUUAUUAACAACAGACUCAGGUCACUUGCUCUAUUUGUGGGCACAGAUAGAAACCUAGCUGCUAACUGUUCAGACAAACAAGUUUUUCAAUCCCGUAGUUUGAUUUGGAGCUCAUUUCUCCCGGAUUUUCAAAACUUAUGUUGGUAUAUUCAAGACAAAAGGCGAGCUUGGUAAUUUUAUCUUUUUAUCAUGUUCACAGGUUGCCAAUUGGAACCUAAUUCACCUCCCAUUACCCUGUAAAAGGAAUAGCAAGUUUCUGACUUGCGAUCAAUUGACACACAACAAAAAGGCUUCAUUCCCAGCUAGCUAAACCCUCCAAAAUACUCCAUGUUCCUAUGCCCAGUCAUCAAUCAUAGAAAGUACUGCUAAAUUUGACUAAGAAGACCCUAAGCAGAGGAGAAAAUAAGAGCAAGAGCAUUGAAUCCUUGUCUUCAAUUUGGAUUUUAGAUUUAACUGACUUUGGUGAUCAUUAAUUAGUUAACAUUUUUUUUUUUGAAAAAAAAAAACUGACGUUGUAUGGUAAAUGUGUGACGUUGUACGGUUGAACCAUGCAACAACGUUAAAAUAAAAGGAUAUGAACCUCUUGGCCCGCUUAGGAUCGAUUGCCCAAAGCUCCGCCAACUCUUCCGGCGCCAUUGCUUUUCUCGGCUCCACAAACCUUUUCUCAUCCACCAAACAACCCUUCAGCCCACGCCGUUGCCGUUGUUUCCUCGGCUGAGUUGUGAUGAUAGCAGUCUUGCUCUUAUCCUUCCUCUUUCGCCUCCCUCGACAACGGCCGCCGCCACAGCUCCCGGCAACAAACCCGCCUCCGUUCUGGAGAACGUCGUGAUUGUCGAGGCCGACGUUGACGUCGUUCUCCUUCUCUUCCAGCUUUUUUACGUCCAUGUAAACUGAGAAAAGAUCAUCGUCAAAGUCAAUGUCGAAAUCAACAAUGACAUUAUCAUCGUCAUUGUCGAAUGUUUUUACAGUUAACUCCGGCGUCCAUGCACAGUCCAGGGAACCUUUGAAAGGAGAGCUGAUCAUGUCGGCGUUGGGUGUUUCCAAGAACAGAAGAAAUGGCGGAGUAUUAGUUGCGGGGUUUGGCUCGUCUGGAUUAGUUGAAUUCAUCAAAGAUAUUUAAACAAAAAUUGAAAAUUCUGAAAAAAAAAAAAAUAAUAGAAUAUUCUGAUGGAGUAGUUUUGGAAGAUUCAACAAUAAAUUAAAUAUGGGAUUUAUUUUGAACAAUAAAUUAAAAAUGAUGGGGUUUAGUAUUGGAAGAUUCAACAAUAAAUUAAAUAUGGGGUUUUGUCCCGGUAAAAUUAGUGCUCCCUGGGCCUUUAUAUAUACUGAGGAAGAAGAAAAAGAUUAAAUUUGCAUUUCUUGGCCUGAAAUUAAAUGUGACGACUUAAAGAUGGCCACUUGUCGUGGUGAAGUAUGGUUUCUAAAUUCAUGGCUGCUAAAAUAUAGCUCACCACCCUAUAUUCCUGUUUAGGUGGAGGUUUUCCUUCGAUCAAGGGGCAUAUUCUUCUUCAAGCUUUUAUCUUCUUCCCAUCUGGCGUCAAGAAUUUCUCUAUUUUCCUCGUUAUCUGCCACGCCAUGCAUGUACUUAUCCACGAACUUUAUUAUCAACUCAAUCGAUCAGGGGAUCCAGGCAAGCCAUGAACCCGUUUGUCAAUUCGCUCCGAAUGCCAAUAACCAGCCAUGAGAAGUGAGUGGAAUUACAAAGAACACAAGGCAUUUGCCUUGCUAUAAUAUAGGAAGACACCCCUAUAAUAAUAAAAAAAAAAUCUAGGAAAAUGAGAAAGUUGUAUUUAGCAAGUUUGUAUCAUACACCAAAAAAUAAUCAGCCAUUUCCAUUAUAUAUCCAUAACAAACUAAUGUAGUUCCACAAUAAUGUGAAAAAUCUAGGAAGCUGCAAAUUUUUUAACUCCUCGUAGGGCACCAAACGAAUCGAGUUGCCCGCGAGCGGCUCGAGUCGAGUUCGAUCAAUAUCGAGCUCGAACUCGAGUUCAAAAUAUUAUGCUCGUUAGCUCGCGAGUCGGGUAUAUAUAUAAUAUUUUUUAUUUUUUUUAUUUUAAGUAUAUAUAUUUUUUAUUUUAAGUAUAUAUAUUUUUAUUUUCUUAUUUUAAUAAUAAAAUUACAUAUAUAUCCUUAAUAUUUUAUUAUUUAUUAAGAAAAAAAUAUUAUUUUAUUUAUUUUUUAAAAAAUAAAAUAUUUAUUUAUUUUUUUUCGAGCUUGAGCUCGAAUCAAAUUGAUUCGAGUCGAGGUCGAGCUUUAAAUUGCCGGUUCAUCAAGCUCAACCUCGAGUUCGAGUUUGGUAAAAUUUAGUCGAGACUCGACUCGAUUUAAUUAACUCAAAACUCGAUUCGACUUGACUCAUUUGCAGUACUACUUCGUCGGACCUUUUCUUAUUACAGUCGUUUGCUCUCAAGUUCACGUCCCUGUAUAAAAUGGUCCAAUGCCGGGACUGAAGAGUGGAGCGAAUAAUUUGAAUAUAAACAAUCCAAAGGUGAAAGAGAAGGCACGAAGCCUCACUGACUCAAAAGUGUACAACAGCAAAAUGUGUUAGCCCAGUAGGCUGCAUGGAGAAUACACAAACUCCACCAAAUUUACUACGAUCAAUAAUACUUUUAGUUAUUUCAAAAUUGGAACUAACCCGCAACCCAAUUUUUCUUUAUUUAAAAAAAAAAAGAAAAUAAAAAUCAAGUCCAUGGUUAUCUGACGGUCAGCAUUUGGAGAAAGAAAAAGAAUUUUUUAAGGACAAGGGAAUGAUGCACAGCCGCACUAGCAAGUCAAGAUUUGGACCAUUUGAUCUUGGUGGAUGAAAUGGUGAAUCGCCAACCUCAACUGUUUUUAUUUUAAGUAAUUAUCUUCAAGAUAUGACAAAUUAGUUGGCAGACUAAAAUCACAUCAACUUUAAAUUAAAUAAGGGAAGAAAAACUUCACUAUUUCCUGUCUUGCCAGAAAAUAUCUACUUUGUCGUGUUGCUUGCAUUCUUAGCCAAUGACACCAUCGGAGAAACUAGAUAUUUCCCCCCCCGCUUCUCAUGCCGCAAAACCGUGCAUGACUGAUAUUGACAAUUCUAUAGGCUGUCCAAGGAUUAUUAGGAAAACAACAUCCACCAUUCCAUCAAAUUGCGUCAUGAUGUAUGCUAAUACAGGAAGUAAGAUGUAGUUGAUCUGUUGUCACAAUUAAUAAUGUUCUUCAGUGGAUGAUUCCUCAGAUACUUCUGUGCAAAUUUGCAGUGCUACAAAGUAGUGGUUUUAGUAUAAACUCCUCCAAGUUAUUGUUGAGUUUAAGGUAAAGAAGCAGUGGUUCCUUUCUCUCCCUACCGAGUAUCUAAUUCCUAGUCCCAAAAUUCAAUUCGACCAUAGCUAUGCUGGACCAAUAUUGAUCGAGUCCCCUGGUCCCGAUUUUCAAUCACAGCAGCAAGAACCCUUUCACUUUCAGUAAUUGAUUCUCUCCUUUCCUUUGCUUCCUUAUCCAUUUGAUCCACUGGAUGCUUUUCCAAAGCUUCUAUCUUGUUGGAAUCCUUCCAACACUUCCUCGUUUUCGCCUAAGCACGCCGUCUCUUCCUUGGCAAUGCGUCUAAUCAUGCAUCCCGGUCACUUGAACCCCAGCUGGCUACUCGCUACUUUGCUUCCUAUCAGCUCACCACCACAUCUUCUUCUUCAUCUAAUUUCCCCCUCAUCCGUCGGAUCUACACAUUCCGACUUUUGUAUGUAAAAUACCUUCACCCAGCCAGCUUCACGGUUUUCUUGCAUUUCAAAAAAAGCAAAAAAAAAAAAUUCACCCUUUCGGAUUCAAUUCAUCUAGUCACUAGCUAUAUCAGGCAUUUUUGCCAGCAUUGAACUAGCAACGACCCAUAUUUAUUAGUUACGCCAAUUAAUGGGAAAUCAACAGAAUCGAUAUCACCUGCCUCGGCACCUCCUCAACGGAUCCGAUGUUGCAACAAUGGCUUUAAUCAACGAGACAAGAAGCAACCCGACUAGUAACGACGCGAAUUUCGACAGCAACAUGGUGAUAAUAUUGGCAGCUUUGCUAUGUGCAUUAAUAUGUGCGCUUGGCCUAAAUUCAAUUGUGCGCUGUGCAUUAAGGUGCAGCCGGAGAUUUGCCUUGGAAACUCCCGAGGGUGUAGCCUCACGUUUGGCCUCAUCGGGUCUAACCAAGGACGCGUUACGUAAAAUCCCGGUGGCUGUUUACAAGUCGGGAAUCAAUAUCGCAGCCACGGAUUGUCCCAUAUGCCUGGGAGAAUUUAGUGAAGGAGAGAAAGUACGGAUUUUGCCCAGAUGCAAUCAUGGUUUCCAUGUCAAGUGCGUGGAUACGUGGCUACUGUCGCAUUCAUCCUGUCCAACUUGUCGGCAGCUGUUGUUUGGACAUCCUACUCCGGCGAAUACUUGAUUAAUGCAAGGUAAUUAAUGACUGCUGAUGAGGUUUUGUGGUUUGUAGAUUUUGCUGCAGAGUAAUUGUUGUUAUCUGGCAAUAGAUGAGGAGGGUACGUAAUCCGUAACUGUUGUUAUGCUCGUAACUAUAGCAGGUUAAUUGGUCUCUGUCAUGAGUAGCAGCGGGAGGUAAUGUCGUUGUUUUGAGAAUCCAAGAGUAUGUCAGUUUACUCUUUAGUUUCGAGUGGCUAUGUAUUAAGUUCACAUGUAUGUAUGCAUGCGCAGAAAUUUACCAACAACAACUGUAAAAAAAAAAAAGAAAAGAAUAGAUGAAGAGACUAACUGGAGCAGUUAGUUAUCUGGUGUUGCUACGUUCUUGCAAUUAUAGACUGCUUAAUUUGUCUAGUCCGCAAAUGCCACACUUCCCUCCGAAAAAAACUCAGAGAAAUACCAUUCCACGUAAGAGGUGAGGUACCUGCAAUUAUGUAUGCGGUGCAUCACCAAUAUGGUAAUAGGACCGCAAAAAUACGAGAAGAAUCUUGGAAGAGUCUCUCAAUCUGAGGGGAGUAGGGGACCAAAUGAAUGAAUGAACAGUGAAGGUCGGAUAUCAAAAGACCAAAUGGCAGCCUGCAGUUAUGAGUUAUGGGGCAGGGAAUUGGCUGGGGAAAAAAAUGCACGUCAAAUAAACUGCUACUGCUACAAAAGACUGGAAAAUAGAGUACUAGUACUAGAAUUGACUGAAAAACAUGAGGGCUUCCUUUAGUUAGUUGUCCGGUUGGCUUCGAGUGGCGGUGAACUAAUGUAACUGCUCUUUCACAGGCUUCACAUAAAUAUUCCAGUUAGGUGAGCCAUAGACUUUUGCCGCCGGGGAGGGGUGGGGGGUGGGGAUCUUGGAAGAUAUUUAAUGUUUUUUAUUUUUGGAUUUUCCUUCACUCUUCUUCGAUUUCUGGUGUGAAAUGAUUGAUGAUUAAGACGAGAGUUGUUAGGACCACAACUGCUCCAAUUAAACAGGCAGAGAGAGAGAGAGAGAGAGAGAGGUAAAUAAAACAUCUUACCAUUCUGGUGAUUGGAAAUUUGAUGCAAUAUCCAUUAGUACCAUGAAUCGCACCACAUUCUGGUGAUUGGAAAUUUGAAGUCACUUGGAGCAAAUUGAUGCGUCAUCCAUGUUAGUUGAACUGCUAGGAGUAGUAUAAAGACACAAGAGGUGCCACUGCUCCUUAAUUUGUUCUACGUACGUAGGUGAGUACUUUAGUUAUUGCAUGUGUGGGCGUACGUGGGACCAUGAGUAUGUAUAUGGACAGUAGUAAACUCUAUUACCGCCAGAUUAAUGAGGGCUUUUUAACUAAUGUCACUGAUACUGAUACGAGUGGAUCAUAGUCAUUCAUGCAUCAAUUUUUCUAGUGCAUGACGCUGUCAAUUCAUUUGUUCGUAAUGAACAAGCACUUAACUCUUUAGUACUAUAAAUUAAGUUUCACGUUACUCGUAUCGUAUCUAAAUGUUUGUUCAUCUAUAUAUGUGUGUCUUUUCCUUUCCCUAGGAAAGGGAUCUAGAAACGAGAAGUUGUUGCGCUCUUAAAUACAAAAGAAAGUGAUGAUGUAUUUGGCAAAAUGAAAAUCAAAGAACAAAACAAUAAUAUAAGUGGUAGUUAAUUGAGUUGGCACAUGGACAAAGCAAAGCAAACAACAACGGCGGAUGCAGGCUAAAACUUGUUGAGUUUUGCCUUGAUACUAAUUGAUAUGGUGGCGUCUAGAAAGGCAAUGGGUGGUUAGUAGGUGAAUAAUAAGGCGAAUAAGGGGAGCCCAUCACAAAUGAAGACUGGGCAUUGCCGACGAAAGAGGCGGGAUUAUUAUUAUUGCUGCCGGCAUGAUGGUUAUUACGGCCUCGAUUGGGAGUUCUUGGAGCUGGACUUCUUGGUGUAGACACCAUCCCACUCCGACUAUAUCGAUUCUCUCCGCUUCCCCUCGGCCCUUUCUCCGCCCACUUUAGCUCUUGUUGUUUAACCAGGCUUGGAUAUCCCAUGCAACAUCCCAUUUGUCCUGCUCUCUCAAUGUACCUGUGUCGAUAUAAUUGAUAAACAAAGACGAAAUAUUAUUCUGCUCUUCUCUGAGUACUGAAAAAUUUUGUAAUCUUGAGCUAGUUUUGACGUUCUCAGGGCAUUUGGGGCUCUUUUUUUGUCGACCGGCUGAUUAAUUACUGUAUCAGGCGGCAAAGGAUAAAUUAAUAAGUAGGGACAAUUGAGCAUUGCCUUCAUACUGUUUAUUAUAAAGCAAAUCAAACGGUUCCUUCUACAAAUUAUCAAGGAAAAAAGCAAAACAUUAUCUGUCGUUUAACUAGUACAUGCUACAUUAUUUUAUGUAACUUCGUGUUCUGUUGAAGCUUCCAACAAACCUCAUCCAUUAAUCUUAUUAUAUUCAUAUGAAUUAACUGCGACUUAGUCCACAUUCCUAAUCAUCAUGCAUAAAAAUAUCUUAGAUUUUUUAUUUUAUGUUUUGUUUCCACUAUCACGACUGAGUCAAAAGUAUGGAGCUUGAGGCAUGCAGUUAGGGAUAAUUUGAUCAUACACUGCCGCCUCACUUUAGUGCAGCAUUUUCUGAGUCCCAUUGAUUCUGCAGGGGUCAUCUCAAGCAAAUUCUAUGUAUAGUACCGACGUUAUAGCUCGUGAGUAAGAGUUGCUGUUGAGAGAGUGAUACCUACAAAUUCGAUUUGAAUUAUAGUAGUUUAGGUCUGUACUGUCAGGAAAUUACUACCCUUUAACCUAAGGUUUAGGUCUACACUGUGCUACCAUCUUUUCUUUCUUGUUAUUUUCUCAAAAAGACCUGGUUGGUCAGUAUUCGAUGUCAGUUAUAGUCGACCCAUCGAUCCAUAUAAGUAGAAAAUUUUGAAGUGUGUACCGGUGACCGAAUCUUCGUCCCAAGCACUCGAUGCACUUUCGGCCUUCUGUCAUUUCUCCCAUGCCAAUAACCACGCACUGCCGGCAAUAGACUCUCCCGCAUACCUGAGUGGAGAAUUUUACAAUAACUCAUGCAUGUCCACGAAAAAAUUGGGAGUAGAAACAGAAGCAUCUAAAAAGACCAAAGAUUGAAAUAACGCGACGUAAUGCAUGUGCAGGCUGAUUAGCUUUAAUUCCUCCAUUAAAACAAAGAUAUCAGGAAACUUGAACCUUAUGAAUAUGCCAUGUGAUCAAAAAAUCAUGUUCAUUCAUCUAUUAUUUCUCUCACUUCAAACCUAAGCUUUUAUCUUUGUCACUUUGACUCAAUUUCGAUGGACCAAAGCAAAUAUUCACCAAGUUUGGAUAAAGAAAUUACAUCAAGGAAUUAAUAACAUUCCUAGGCGACAAAGUUAAUAAACAUAACCUAAAGGCGACCGAUCUAUCUGGCCAAGUAUUUACAUGCUUAUUCAAAUUUAGAGCAGCCGAUAAUGUACCAUACGUGUAUUCUAAGUUUUGACGAACGUUGUCAGAAUGUGUAAAUCUGUGCAUGACAAAUUGAUGAUAUUUAUGUUCAAAACAAAUUGAUAAUUGUGCCUAAUGCUCUGAAAUAAUAGUAUAACAGUGAUAGAGCAAAAAAGCAAUAUGUCAGAGGGACAAAAAAAAAAAAAAAAAAGGAGGCUAGAGUAAAAGAUGGUUGAUUUACCAGGCAACGAUGACGGAAAACAUAGAUGUAGGUAGUGCAAACGGUGCAGAUAUUGGAGUGAGGGAUUCCAGGUCUCCGCCUUCCUCCUAUCUCCGGGUAUCCACUCAUUGAAGCCAUGCUGAUGCCACUCAUCUGGCUCAUGUCAUCAUACCCCAUGUUGUUGUGCAUCCCGCGUGUACUAUGACUAUAAGGGCGGGCAUGAUGAUAAUGAUGAGGAGGAGGUGUAGUCUGUCCAUGAACAUAAUGGUGGCUUCGAUGACCAUUUGCACCCUGAUGAUCACCAACCCCAGAAUUGUGCAAAUGAUUAGUAGUCAUUGGUGAAUUGUAUGUGUCUCGACUCUUUGAAAGAUGAUGGAUAUGGGGAAGGUGGUGGGAUUGAUAAUGAAUUUGAUGAUCGCAGCUGGCGGAAGCCUCUAGGCCUCGGCUAAAAUCCAAACUCGGUAUUUUUUUGAGAGGGGCUACUUCUUCUUUUCUUGGGCUGGCUUCAAUGAUGGAAUCCAAAGUGGGUGGUGCGUUAUUCUUGUCUAUUGAAGGGAGACCAUUUUGUUGCCUCACUUCAGCUAGGUCUUGAAAGGUGAGGUUAACUGAAUCAUCAGGGAUCCCUGAAUAUAACUCCUCCAGCUCUCUUUUUGCUUUUGCGAGCUUUGUCAAGUCUCCCAUUGUUUUCUUUUUGGAGAGGAAAAGAGUGUAGGGUUAGGAGGUAUGCGUUUUAGGUGUAGGGAUUUUUCCAAUGCAGGGGAAACGGUACUUAUAUGUAUAAUGCAAGUGCAGACGGCAGGAAAAAGCCAGGAUACCUGGCCGGUCGAGAAUUGCACUACCGGACAAGGGAUGACGAAGAGAUUUUUGAGAGUACAGGAAAGAUAUAUAUAUAUGCAUUUUUUUUUUCCUUCUAUCAGUCAUGUGCUGUUCUUUUUAGUUGGACUAAUUGCCUCAUUUGGGCUUUCGUCUUAAAAAUCAAUUGACGGUAAGUAUAGAUCUUGAUUAAUUCUUUUUUAGUUGGUUUUGGCUUAACUGAUGUGAGAUAGAUUAGGUUGUUUAACAAUGAUAAAGCAUCAUAAAAGAAACGUUGAAUUCCAGAGUAAAGGGGAUUUUUGAGAGUAGAGGGACUAUAUAGUGCGUGCAUUGUUAUCAUUUUACACUAGCUAGUACUGUAUAAGGAUUGCUUAAACAUCGAUGAUCGUUGCUAUUAGCAACCAUAAAAAUGUUUCGCAACCCUCUUUCCUCCAUCCCAAUGCAUCCUUCUGUCGGUAAUUAACCAUUUUAGACGAUACUCGGUUGGGAAUCAGGUGGGAGCCACUUGACUGGUUAAGUAGUAAAUCUGCUUAAUUACAUAAUAGUAAUAAUAAGGGAUAGUCAUUUAGCGAGUUAAUGGUUCGGGAUAACAUAUGGCCGUCCCUUAGGAUCCUUACAGGAUGAUGAUGGUGAUGAUGAAUAUUUUCAAUCUAGGCCGACUCUGACAGUUUUUUUUUUUUUUUGGUGAUUAUUUUAAGGUAUUAACAGAGAAAACUAGAAAAGCUGUGUGUUAGCCGAGCGUGCGCAGAGUUGAACUUCUCAACUCAACAAUGAUAGAAAUAAUGAAAUCAUCAUGUUAAGAUUGGAUGACCGGCAGGAAAAGACAAAGGGCUGGCCGGACUAUGAGAGGGCAACAAAUUCUUGCUGUCUUUGAUUGGGAGAAGAGAAGGUAUGGGUGGUUUAUGGAAAUGGCAUAAACGCGUUCGUUCAACCUAAUAAGGUAUAGUGAUCAACGAUGUAGGGCAACAACUAAUAAUAUAUAGUUUUAAGCAUAUGAGCUCAUGCUUGCAAUCCUCAGGACGUCAAUUCAACAUUUCACUUCUCCUGAGUCUAUUGGUCGGAUUCUUUCCAUUCAGCCUUUUGGCAAAUCCUACCAAGAUUAGCUUGUGCAAUGUAUCUUAUUAGUACCAAAUAAUCCGGAAUGAAAUAUCUUUGCGCGUCUGCCUUCUUUUUUCUUUUUUUUUUUUUGAGCCUUCCUUCCCCAGAGUCACAAUUAACCCGAGUUUUGGACUUCAGAUUCUGUUUUAUUGUCAAUUGGCAUCUGACUUCGGGUAGCAUUCCUUUUGUUUCUUCCCCAGGGAAACGAAACUUCUACCCAGCUAAUUCUCAUUCGUUGUUUGUCAGCAGAUUAGCAAUCGCCAGCAAAUUGUUCGACUCACGUGAACAUUUUUUUAUUAAAAAAAAAAAAAAAAAAAAAAAAAAGGGGAGAAGAAGAAACGGGAAGGUCCAAAAAACUCACUACUGUAUUCUUUGACGGUAAUGCUGUGUAUAUAAAACCUAACAAAAGGGUUAUGAGAUGUGCUACUGGCUACUGCUAUAUCAUUACAACCAAAAUCCAAAACUUAUAAAUAUCAAGAUAUAUAGCUCAGAUCUUUCAAAAAAAAAGAAGAAGAAGAUAUAUAGCUCAGCAAUUACUCAUCUUUUACCCUUUUUCUAUCAGAAACUACUCCUCUUUGCCC
This 23077-nucleotide long non-coding RNA is filed under the name Coffea arabica (coffee). Its description in RNAcentral is "long non-coding RNA (CARA_LNC000360)". Lineage: Eukaryota; Viridiplantae; Streptophyta; Magnoliopsida; Gentianales; Rubiaceae. The record is from RNAcentral.